UCCGGUUUGUCACCGGCAGUCUCGCAUGAGUUCCCGACUUGACUCGCUGGCAACUAACAACAGGGGUUGCGCUCGUUAUAGGACUUAACCUGACACCUCACGGCACGAGCUGACGACAACCAUGCAGCACCUUGUAAAUUGUCCGAAGAAAAGUCUGUUUCCAAACCUGUCAAUCUACAUUUAAGCCUUGGUAAGGUUCCUCGCGUAUCAUCGAAUUAAACCACAUGCUCCACCGCUUGUGCGGGCCCCCGUCAAUUCCUUUGAGUUUCAUUCUUGCGAACGUACUCCCCAGGUGGGAUACUUAUCACUUUCGCUUAGCCACUCAGGUUGCCCCGAACAGCUAGUAUCCAUCGUUUACGGCGUGGACUAC
RNAcentral lists this unclassified non-coding RNA (370 nucleotides) under uncultured Flavobacteriaceae bacterium. Its description in RNAcentral is "contains 16S-23S intergenic spacer region". Lineage: Bacteria; Pseudomonadati; Bacteroidota; Flavobacteriia; Flavobacteriales; Flavobacteriaceae. The record is from RNAcentral.